GACGAACGCUGGCGGCGUGGAUUAGGCAUGCAAGUCGAACGGUAUCAUCCUUUCGGGGGUGAGAGAGUGGCGAACUGGUGAGUAACACGUAGGUUAUCUACCCUCAAGACGGGGACAACCCAGGGAAACUUGGGCUAAUACCGGAUGUGAGCAACUUUUAGUUGUUUGAAAGGUGGCGUAAGCUGUCGCUUGGGGAUGAGCCUGCGUCCUAUUAGUUAGUUGGUGAGGUAACGGCUCACCUAGGCAAUGAUAGGUAGGCGGCCUUAACGGGUGGUCGCCCACACUGGGAUUGAGAUACGGCCCAGACUCCUACGGGAGGCAGCAGUCGAGAAUAGUCUACAAUGGUCGGAAGACUGAUAGUGCGACGCCGCGUGAACGAUGAAUCCCUUCGGGGUGUAAAGUUCUUUUAUAUGUGAGCAGUGCUUCUUAUAUUAAACAGUAUGGGGAGAGAGAUAUUAGCAUAUGAAUAAGCAACGGCUAACUCCGUGCCAGCAGCCGCGGU
Molecule: ribosomal RNA, 502 nt
Filed under: uncultured bacterium
Lineage: Bacteria
Description: bacterial SSU rRNA
Rfam family: Bacterial small subunit ribosomal RNA
Source: RNAcentral